RNAcentral lists this ribosomal RNA (462 nucleotides) under uncultured bacterium. RNAcentral describes it as "partial 16S ribosomal RNA". It matches the Rfam family "Bacterial small subunit ribosomal RNA", at positions 355 to 833 of the family's 1533-position model. The record is from RNAcentral.
UGGGGAAUAUUGGACAAUGGGGGCAACCCUGAUCCAGCAAUGCCGCGUGUGUGAAGAAGGUCUUCGGAUUGUAAAGCACUUUCGACGGGGACGAUGAUGACGGUACCCGUAGAAGAAGCCCCGGCUAACUUCGUGCCAGCAGCCGCGGUAAUACGAAGGGGGCUAGCGUUGCUCGGAAUGACUGGGCGUAAAGGGCGUGUAGGCGGUUUACACAGUCAGAUGUGAAAUCCCCGGGCUUAACCUGGGAGCUGCAUUUGAUACGUGUAGACUAGAGUGUGAGAGAGGGUUGUGGAAUUCCCAGUGUAGAGGUGAAAUUCGUAGAUAUUGGGAAGAACACCGGUGGCGAAGGCGGCAACCUGGCUCAUGACUGACGCUGAGGCGCGAAAGCGUGGGGAGCAAACAGGAUUAGAUACCCUGGUAGUCCACGCCUGUAAACGAUGUGUGCUAGAUGUUGGGUAACUU